Molecule: long non-coding RNA, 2776 nt
Organism: Zea mays
Lineage: Eukaryota; Viridiplantae; Streptophyta; Magnoliopsida; Poales; Poaceae
Exons: 14
Source: RefSeq, a predicted model, not a curated record
AAGGUGGGUGGUGGAGGAGGAGGAGAGCGAGGGAGGACGACGAGGCUGCCUGGCGGAGGCACGAGGGGAAGGUGAGCGUCACCUGCAAGGCCACAAUCUUGGUGAGACUGCCACCACGAGCGUGCCCCACGACCGCCACCAGGAUCUCAAGCUCGCCAUCGAUGACUUCGACGAGGAGUUGAUCGACCCUGAGCUACGCUUCUCGUUCCAGCGCAACAACAAGUCCAUUCAGCAAACCUUGGCGCUCCUCACCUAUCGCAGCCUCUUCGGCAUCGCCAUCAGACUUCCUGUCAUGCUGCUCCAAGAUAGGCGUGCCUGAUUUUCCGACAGACUUGGUACAGAUUUGGGAGGGAGGCAUGUGCAGGUGGAGCUACAGUGGCAGUUCAGAUCCGCUGUCAUGAGCUGCUACUGAUCCUGAUGCGUGAAGACUUGCGACAAAUGACGGCAAAAAAGAUAUAGCAGGAGUGUGGAGAAUAAUGGCACUUGGGGAUUCAGGUGUUUGUGGAGUGGACUUGACUGACAAAGUAGUGGACAUAAUUUUCCAUGUAUUUGAUGCUAACUGUGAUGGUAACCUAAGCUCAGAGGAGUUCUUGAGGUCAUUACAAAGAAGAGAAAAUGACAUUCGCCAGCCAGCAACUUCUGGUUUUCUAGGGGUGAUCGCCUGCUGGUUGAACUGUACAAAGUGUUCUCUUCAACAAAUGCUGCCCCAGUAGAUUCUUUUGACAGUCGUGACACUUUGUUCCAUUGUCCUUGGUUGCUCUGUGUUAAAUGAGCUGGAGAACGUGAUCGACAACCGAUAGAGUUCUGAAGUGUGAAGAGGACUUUUGGUGUAAAUAUUACCCUGCGGCCCCUACUUAAUACUGAUUAGAAUUGGUCAUACCACGUAGCAGCUGAAGUGCUUGUUCAGCAUGAUGAGUGAUCUUCCUUCUGUCUUAGAAGCAUUCGUGGACAGGAAACACAAUAAAGAUAGGUCUGGGGUUGAUAGCAGCGGCAAGUCCAGACACUCAUCAAAUGUGCCCACAUGAAUCUUUCCAACAAGAGGAAAAGAUGGCCAUGCCAAGAGUUCCAGGGCAGCACCUCCUGCCGCCAAUGAGUAUGACGAAGACGAGGAGGAGCACACGAAGACCUUUUGUGGAAGCUAUGGCGACCUUUACAUUGGCAGCAACUAAAUAAUGUAUUCAUGUUCCAUUUUUCUUUUUCUUUUGAAAAAAGGAGAAUAAUAUAUGUUUUAGCUGCAUCUACAUCGCCAGUCUGCACCGCAUCUAAUGAUUUGUUCAAUAACUGGUAGGGAUUGAGUUAGCUGACAAUAGGCCAUUUGAUUCCAUCCCAUUUUUUGGUGCAUGUAGUGUAUCAUGUUUCGUUUACCAUCUCUAUUGUCAAGAUUAAAGCUCUGGAUAUCUUUUCAAGACCAUGCUGAGUGUACAGUUUCUAUUUAUCCACUGAAAUCUAUCUUCUGGAGGACCGAGGCCAUUCAAGUAGAGGGUGCAGGGACAGACUCCUGUUCCCCGUGGUACUCAAGGCCUGUGAUUGCGUGCAUGGCUGCAGGGAGGACUCUUGGUUCCCGGCGAAUAGAGUAACUUUUUGAGUACCAGUGAUGUAAAGGGACACAAGCUCUAGCAAUGUUUCUGCUUCUCAUGUAGGCCGUGUAAGACGUCGCAAACAUCCAACUAAGGCUACCACAGAUGGGAAUAGAGCUAAUGGACAACCAUUGCUUGUCAAUGAUCAGAACAAAUAUAAAUCAAUGCUUACCCAUACGUAUUCUACAGUAUGGAUGAUUAGAGGCUUUGCCUUUAUUAUUUAUAUGGGUCAUCUAUAUAUCUGGGCUAUGGUGGUUGUGAUUCAAAUAUACAUGGCAAGAGAACUUUUCAACUUACUCAGAAAAUCCAGUGAAGAGAAACAACUGCCAGGGUUCAGGGUCCUGAAUUGAUCUAGAUGCCAACCAUUAGGCAUGAUUCGAUUCUAGAAGAUCCUGAUGGUGACACCUCACAACCACAACACAUCUCGAACUACUACCAUGUCAAUCUCAAGAAUGUGAUGAUAACAUGACCAUUCAAAUUGGUGAAGUACUUCAGAUGCAAAUUGAGGUUCAGAGAUAGUUAAAUGAACAACUUGAGAAAUGGUCAUUUGUUAAAUCUGAGCAUAAAAGAUCGGAAAUCCAAGGGCUUAUGGAAUUGGUAUUGCAAAGAUCUUCAUGUGAUUCGGAUCCUUAUAAGGAAAGAUAAUUUAUAUACAUGAGGGAGCCACCUAUUGAUUCUUUUGAUGUCUCUACAUGUGGCCUUGAUUUGCUGGAUGACAUCUUGUUGGGUUAUAAAGCUGAAUGGCCAAUGAAUAUUGGCAUUACAGUAGACGCAUUGAAAAUACAUGCUAAAAUAUUAUGAAUGUUCUUUACCGCAGUUGCUGCGGAGGAAGCCGACAGCGCGGCUAUGGUCGCUGAGAAGAAGGUUGUCGCGUCUGUGUAGCUUGUCACCAUUGCUGCGCACAAGGCGGGCUGCGCCGUGGAUGCUGUCUGUUUGUAUUACUUUUGGUUGGUUGCAUUAAGUGUUGUACUGUGUGUUUGGUAAUGCAGUUACUUUUGUAUUCAGUGAACUGUUUGGUAAUGCGGUUCCUUUUGUAUUUAGUGAAUUGUGUGGUACUGCGUACACACUGUAGUUUCUUUUGUAUUAAGUGUAGUAGUGAUGAGGUAAUGCAUUGCACUUGUACUACUGAGCUAAAUCUAUGUACUUGUGCUUGUUGUGGCUAAAAAGCAUAUGUUUAAGAAAAAACUGCUUUCUGUGAA